This 118-nucleotide ribosomal RNA is filed under the name Vitis vinifera (wine grape). The record is from RNAcentral. Lineage: Eukaryota; Viridiplantae; Streptophyta; Magnoliopsida; Vitales; Vitaceae.
GGGUGCGCUCAUACCAGCACUAAUGCACUGGAUCCAUCAUAACUCUGUAGUUAAGUGUGCUUGGGCGAGAGUAGUACUAGGAUGGGUGAACUUUUGGGAAGUCCUCAUGUUGCACCCU